RNAcentral lists this ribosomal RNA (371 nucleotides) under uncultured bacterium. RNAcentral describes it as "bacterial SSU rRNA". It matches the Rfam family "Bacterial small subunit ribosomal RNA", at positions 771 to 1135 of the family's 1533-position model. The record is from RNAcentral.
AGCCAAUAGAUACCCGGGUAGUCCACGCCCUAAACGAUGUCUACUAGUUGUUGGUGGAGUAAAACUCCAUGAGUAAACGCAGCUAAACGCGUGAAGUAGACCGCCUGGGGAGUACGGUCGCAAGAUUAAAAACUCAAAGGAAUUGACGGGGGCCCGCACAAGCGGUGGAUUAUGUGGAUUAAAUUCGAUGCAACGCGAAAAACCCUUACCUGGCCUUGACAUGCCACUAACGAAGCAGAGAUGCAUUAGGUGCCCGUAAGGGAAAGUGGACACAGGUGCUGCAUGGCUGUCGUCAGCUCGUGUCGUGAGAUGUUGGGUUAAGUCCCGCAACGAGCGCAACCCUUGCCAUUAAUUGCCAUCAUUUAGUUGGG